RNAcentral lists this long non-coding RNA (713 nucleotides) under Capra hircus (goat). RNAcentral describes it as "lncRNA (ENSCHIG00010009813.1)". The record is from RNAcentral. Lineage: Eukaryota; Metazoa; Chordata; Mammalia; Artiodactyla; Bovidae.
AUGGCUGCAAUCACCAUCUGCAGUAUAAAUUGUAUUCAUGUAUUUUCCUCAAUAGGCCAAAUGAAAAAGUACUUUAUAUAAUUCUUAUUAGCACGAUAGCGUGACCUUUUAAAACCAGCAAUCUUUUCUUACAAAAGUGAAACUAACAGUUUUCUUUGAAAAUCCAUUGAAGCAUUAGAUACCUAUAAGCAUUUCUUAUAAAUGAGUCCUUCUAAAGCCAUUUUCAAAGUGAUUCCGCGAUUUGGCUAAUGGUAAUUAAAAUCAAUAGAAAUUUCCGCUGAAAUAUUUUAUUCUGGAAGUCAUUUUUCAAACAUACACUGUUCAGCAUCUCACUAAAAACACGAGUUUUGAAUGCAAAAAGGCAUUAGGAAACCUAAAACAUUGGCCAGAGAUACAUUCAGAUUAAACAGAUGAAUAAAGGGCGGGGCAGGAAGGGAGAGGGUAACAUAGGGGAGGGGAGGCAGGAGAGGUGAGCAGACACCCACAUAAUGGGUUGGCCAAGAAGCUUACCGGACUUAAAAGAAGACACUUGGAAGCCAUCCACUAUUUCCAAGUCCCGCUUUUGAGUUCCAGUCCUACCAUUUACUUAGAAGAUAUUCCAACCUGCUGCUCUCAGUCUUUUCAUUUGUAAAAUUCAGACAGUUUUACGCAACCGUUUGAUGAGAUCAUGUAUAUAUUAUAAAACUGCUCUAUAAACAAACACUAAGGAGAAA